UGGGGAAUAUUGCACAAUGGGGGGAAACCCUGAUGCAGCAACGCCGCGUGAAGGAAGAAGGCCCUCGGGUUGUAAACUUCUUUUACCAGGGACGAAGGACGUGACGGCACCUGACUAAGAAGCACCGGCUAAAUACGUGCCAGCAGCCGCGGUAAUACGUAUGGUGCAAGCGUUAUCCGGAUUUACUGGGUGUAAAGGGAGCGCAGACGGCAUGGCAAGCCAGAUGUGAAAGGUGGGGGCUCAACCCCCAAGCUGCAUUUGGAACUGUCAAGCUAGAGUAUCGGAGAGGUAAGUGGAAUUCCUAGUGUAGCGGUGAAAUGCGUAGAUAUUAGGAGGAACACCAGUGGCGAAGGCGGCUUACUGGACGAUAACUGACGUUGGGGCUCGAAAGCGU
Molecule: ribosomal RNA, 394 nt
Filed under: uncultured Lactonifactor sp.
Lineage: Bacteria; Bacillati; Bacillota; Clostridia; Eubacteriales; Clostridiaceae
Description: bacterial SSU rRNA
Rfam family: Bacterial small subunit ribosomal RNA
Source: RNAcentral